UGGGGAAUAUUGCACAAUGGGCGCAAGCCUGAUGCAGCGACGCCGCGUGGGGGAUGACGGCCUUCGGGUUGUAAACUCCUUUCGCCAGGGACGAAGCGUUUUGUGACGGUACCUGGAGAAGAAGCACCGGCUAACUACGUGCCAGCAGCCGCGGUAAUACGUAGGGUGCAAGCGUUGUCCGGAAUUACUGGGCGUAAAGAGCUCGUAGGUGGUUUGUCACGUCGUCUGUGAAAUUCCACAGCUUAACUGUGGGCGUGCAGGCGAUACGGGCUGACUUGAGUACUGUAGGGGUAACCGGAAUUCCUGGUGUAGCGGUGAAAUGCGCAGAUAUCAGGAGGAACACCGAUGGCGAAGGCAGGUUACUGGGCAGUUACUGACGCUGAGGAGCGAAAGCAUGGGUAGCAAACAGGAUUAGAUACCCUGGUAGUCCAUGCCGUAAACGGUGGGCGCUAGGUGUAGGGGCCUUUUGGGGUUUCUGUGCCGUAGCUAACGCAUUAAGCGCCCCGCCUGGGGAGUACGGCCGCAAGGCUA
Molecule: ribosomal RNA, 531 nt
Filed under: uncultured bacterium
Lineage: Bacteria
Description: bacterial SSU rRNA
Rfam family: Bacterial small subunit ribosomal RNA
Source: RNAcentral